This 1588-nucleotide long non-coding RNA is filed under the name Mus musculus (house mouse). RNAcentral's name for it is "predicted gene, 30262". Lineage: Eukaryota; Metazoa; Chordata; Mammalia; Rodentia; Muridae. The record is from RNAcentral.
AGGCAUGAUUUGACAGGAUAAUGCCCUCACUUGAUAAAAGGAGAGACUCUCUGUCAGCUGCCCGCAUCCUCCCUGAAGCUCUGGAAUCUGACUUCAUGGAGCAUUUGAGCAGCUAAGCUUUUCCUGACCCCCUCCCUCCCACCACCACUCCCGCCUUCCCCCAGUUGCUGAGCAUAAUUGAGAAUUAAUUGCAUGUCUGCUUAUUAUUUUGCUUACUUAAUUUGGUCUAAACGUUGUUCACACUCCAGACUUAAGGCCUGGAAGUGGCUGUCUUCAGGGACCAUUUCUGAGCUCAGCAAACCUUCCCAGCAGGACCUGAUCUCUCCAAGACAGGCGCUCCAGUGGAUCUGAGUUAGAUCGGUGUAUAGAUCAGAGUUCCUAAGAAGCAAUGGACAAAGACCCAGAGUCUGUGCUGGGGGCCUUGGAAGGCUCUAAACCCUGAGCAGCAGUUUACAGAAGAGGCGAACAAUAUGGAUAUGGAGACAAUCUCUUAGGAGACUUGGGAGUGCUCUCCUGUAGGAUCCAAGACUUCUCAUCUUUCCGAUGCGAACUGAAUUAUGCUAGCAUGUCAACCAGGACAUUUCAGAGAAGCAUCGCAUGGGACAUUAAACAGGACCUUUGGUAUUUGGUGUUGGGAAAAUGCCCCCUUGGAUCUAGAGCUCUUUAGGAGUAAUGGCUUCCCGAAAAGAACUAUAGAGAAAAAGAAGGCAGAAUAACCCAGGUGCCUGAGCAUCUUUGAGGAGGCCCCGAUGUGACUACCUGAAACCAGUCUAUGUCAGCACUUCUUGCUACCUGAGAUAUACAUUAUUCAUGGUUUAAGCCAUUCUGAGUCAGGACUUUUUUUUUAUUGAAACUCGGAGCUGGAAAUAGCCAAGUUUACCCACCAAGAAUAACAUCUGGAUUAUGAACCCUGGAAAUAUAACCACUGUCAUUUUGUGUCCCUGGACUAUAUUAAGCUCUACCACAUGGUUUCCAACUUGAGAGUCACUUAGGUUGUCUGUACAGGUGUAUGAGGAAAAGAAAAUCUUAUUUAUGAAUGGAGUGUGGUGAUACACCCUAUCCCGAGCUUUUGUCCCCACCAGCAAGAACAUGCUCAGGACAACCGGAAUCUUCUGCGGCAAAAGCUUUAUUGCUUACUUCUUUAGGAACAAGAGGAGAAGAAUAGGGGCGAAUGGCAAAACCCUGUCCCUUUUAUGGAGGAUUGUCCUCCGCCUCGGACAUGUCGCUCCCUGAUUGGCUGCAGCCCAUCAACCGAGUUGUCGUCAAGGGGAAGGCAGAGCACAUGGAGUGGAGAACUACCCCGGCACAUGCGCAGAUUAUUUGUUUACUACUUAGAACACAGGAUGUCGGCGCCAUCUUGUAAUGGUGAAUGUGAGGGUGGCUCCUCACAACAUCCCUUUAAUCCCAGUACUGAAGGCAGAGGCAGGUGGAUUUCUGAGUCUGAAGACAGCCUGGUAUAGAGAGCUAGUUCCAGGGCUAUACAAGAAGACUCUGUCUUGCAAAAAAUGAAACAAAACAAAAUAAAACAAAUGAAUAAACAAAAAGAAAGAAGCUUCAAUUUUUAUAAAAUAAAAACUAAUUUACUUUA